Molecule: ribosomal RNA, 256 nt
Filed under: uncultured bacterium
Lineage: Bacteria
Description: partial 16S ribosomal RNA
Rfam family: Bacterial small subunit ribosomal RNA
Source: RNAcentral
CACGUAGGGUGCGAGCGUUUGUCCGGAAUUAUUGGGCGUAAAGAGCUCGUAGGCGGUGUGUCGCGUCGGCCGUGAAAACUUGCAGCUUAACUGUGGGCGUGCGGUCGAUACGGGCAUCACUGGAGUUCGGCAGGGGAGACUGGAAUUCCUGGUGUAGCGGUGAAAUGCGCAGAUAUCAGGAGGAACACCGAUGGCGAAGGCAGGUCUCUGGGCCACUACUGACGCUGAGAAGCGAAAGCAUGGGGGAGCGAACAGG